Molecule: ribosomal RNA, 257 nt
Filed under: uncultured bacterium
Lineage: Bacteria
Description: partial small subunit ribosomal RNA
Rfam family: Bacterial small subunit ribosomal RNA
Source: RNAcentral
AGGACGAACGCUGGCGGCGUGCUUAACACAUGCAAGUCGAACGGUAAGGCCUCUUCGGGAGUACACGAGUGGCGAACGGGUGAGUAACACGUGGGUGACCUGCCUUGAGCUCUGGGAUAAGCCUGGGAAACUGGGUCUAAUACCGGAUAUGACCUGUCCUUGCAUGGGGGUGGGUGGAAAGUUUUUUCGGCUUGAGAUGGGCCCGCGGCCUAUCAGCUUGUUGGUGGGGUGAUGGCCUACCAAGGCGGCGACGGGUA